Long non-coding RNA from Ornithorhynchus anatinus (platypus), 424 nucleotides. RefSeq lists it as uncharacterized. Lineage: Eukaryota; Metazoa; Chordata; Mammalia; Monotremata; Ornithorhynchidae. The record is from RefSeq and is a predicted model, not a curated record. The transcript has 3 exons.
GUCGCCCGGCCCCGUGCUCUUUUCACCGGGCCAAACUGCUUCUCUCUCUCGAGUUGACCUAGUCCUUCCUGAAUUUCAGGGGGAUUGACAUUCACAGCCCCAAAGUGAAGAGGGUAAAAGCGAGCCGUCGGCCAGAGAGUGGAACGUUGCCGGGGAAGUGAGUUGAAGGUUCUCUUGAGGCCUACUGUCUCCUCGACCCAGUAGAUGCUCAGAAUGGGCUGCUGAAGCCGUGCGUAUUUUCCCCCAGCAUGAAGAUGGACGUCCAGGAAGCCAACCGACGCAGAUUCUCCGACGAUUCCAUUCCGCGGUUGGAGUCGGAAGCCUGGGCUGGACGGGUCGCCGAUCUGGGAUGUCAGAUGUCAGUCCUGUUUAUUGGGCGCUUACUGUGUGCAGAGCACUGUAAUAGGCACUGGGGAGAGUGCGA